Molecule: ribosomal RNA, 460 nt
Filed under: uncultured bacterium
Lineage: Bacteria
Description: partial 16S ribosomal RNA
Rfam family: Bacterial small subunit ribosomal RNA
Source: RNAcentral
CCUACGGGAGGCAGCAGUGAGGAAUAUUGGUCAAUGGACGCAAGUCUGAACCAGCCAUGCAGCGUGCAGGAUGACGGCUCUAUGAGUUGUAAACUGCUUUUAUACGAGGGUAAACCGCGAUACGUGUAUCGGGUUGAAAGUACCUUACGAAUAAGGAUCGGCUAACUCCGUGCCAGCAGCCGCGGUAAUACGGAGGAUCCGAGCGUUAUCCGGAUUUAUUGGGUUUAAAGGGUGCGUAGAUGGGUUGAUAAGUUAGUGGUGAAAGUUCGGGGCUCAACCCUGAAACUGCAUUUAAUACUGGUGGACUAGAGAACAGUUGAGGUAGGCGGAAUGCAUGGUGUAGCGGUGAAAUGCUUAGAGAUCAUACAGAACACCGAUUGCGAAGGCAGCUUACCAAACUAUAUCUGACGUUGAGGCACGAAAGCGUGGGUAUCAAACAGGAUUAGAUACCCGAGUAGUC